RNAcentral lists this ribosomal RNA (449 nucleotides) under uncultured bacterium. RNAcentral's name for it is "partial 16S ribosomal RNA". It matches the Rfam family "Bacterial small subunit ribosomal RNA", at positions 354 to 796 of the family's 1533-position model. The record is from RNAcentral.
GUGGGGAAUAUUGGACAAUGGGCGAAAGCCUGAUCCAGCCAUGCCGCGUGUGUGAAGAAGGUCUUCGGAUUGUAAAGCACUUUAAGUUGGGAGGAAGGGCAGUAAGUUAAUACCUUGCUGUUUUGACGUUACCAACAGAAUAAGCACCGGCUAACUUCGUGCCAGCAGCCGCGGUAAUACGAAGGGUGCAAGCGUUAAUCGGAAUUACUGGGCGUAAAGCGCGCGUAGGUGGUUCAGCAAGUUGGAGGUGAAAUCCCCGGGCUCAACCUGGGAACUGCCUCCAAAACUACUGAGCUAGAGUACGGUAGAGGGUAGUGGAAUUUCCUGUGUAGCGGUGAAAUGCGUAGAUAUAGGAAGGAACACCAGUGGCGAAGGCGACUACCUGGACUGAUACUGACACUGAGGUGCGAAAGCGUGGGGAGCAAACAGGAUUAGAUACCUAGUAGUCC